This is a long non-coding RNA of Apis cerana (Asiatic honeybee), 881 nucleotides long. RefSeq lists it as uncharacterized. The record is from RefSeq and is a predicted model, not a curated record. NCBI's taxonomy places the organism in Eukaryota, Metazoa, Arthropoda, Insecta, Hymenoptera, Apidae.
AUUAAACUCAAUUGAUAGUUACAUUUUAUUGUGCAACAUAUGGAAUUUUUAAUUUAUUGAAAUAAAUAGGAAGAAUAAUGGUGGAAGAAGAGAAACCAGAGAAACAGUAUGUGAAAUAGGCAGCUGUUUUAUGGUACAUUUAUAUACACGUUCUAGGAGUAUACGCUAUCUGGUUGAUGUUCAUUUGGAAAUGGAAACUAUACUGCCAAAUGGAUGACUAUAUUUUAUAGGUUCGAUAUAUGAUUGGAUAUUAUAUCACAGGAUUCAUCAUAAAUAUUAUGGGAUAAAGAUCCAUACAUCAUAAAAAAGAAUUUCUCUAUAGUCAUUAUAUAAGUAAUGUAUUGUCAUUCAAUAUGAGUCUUGAGGAAAUGAAACGUAACAUUGAUUUACGCGAUAUUGAUACUUAUGUUUAUUUUCAAAAGAUCUUCUAUUGGUCAUUAUUUUUAAUAUUUAGAUUUAUAUUAUCUCUAAAUGUGCCGUUGAAAUAUUGGGACGAAUCAAUAAUUGAAACUGUAUUAAUAACAGGAUUUCUACGAUUUGCUAUAUUAUGAUAAGUAUAUCUUGGUUGGUAAAUAGUGCAUACUUGGUCUGAAACUUUAAGGAAAAAGAAAAGUUAAUGCACAAUUAAUAAUAAUUUCUUGUACAAACUGUUUCUUAAAAUAUGAAGAAACCAUUUCACUUUUAUUGACAAUGAUGUCAUUUAAAAUGAUAUAUUUUAAAUAAAACAUUAUUAGAAAUAUAACACGUUUGAACAAUUGAUAUAGCGAAUCUUGUGAAAAAUCAUUUGACUAUACUUAUUGAAUAAGAUUGAAUAAUUCGUUAAGUACAGCAUAAAUAUAUAUUUACUAUUAUUUAAUUUACUAUUAAUACUUAGAAUACAA